RNAcentral lists this ribosomal RNA (374 nucleotides) under uncultured bacterium. RNAcentral describes it as "bacterial SSU rRNA". It matches the Rfam family "Bacterial small subunit ribosomal RNA", at positions 524 to 898 of the family's 1533-position model. The record is from RNAcentral.
GACGAACCGUGCGAACGUUGUUCGGAUUCACUGGGCUUAAAGGGCGCGUAGGCGGGCGAUCAAGUCAGGGGUGAAAUCCUCCGGCUCAACCGGAGAACAGCCUUUGAUACUGAUUGUCUCGAGGAAGGUAGGGGCAUGUGGAACUUCCGGUGGAGCGGUGAAAUGCGUAGAUAUCGGAAGGAACGCCGGUGGCGAAAGCGACGUGCUGGACCUUUUCUGACGCUGAGGCGCGAAAGCCAGGGGAGCAAACGGGAUUAGAUACCCCGGUAGUCCUGGCCCUAAACGAUGGGUACUAGAUUGUGGACUUGCAUGGGUUCACAGUCGAAGCAAAAGUGAUAAGUACCCCGCCUGGGGAGUAUGGUCGCAAGGCUAAA